RNAcentral lists this small RNA (420 nucleotides) under Pongo abelii (Sumatran orangutan). Its description in RNAcentral is "retained intron". The record is from RNAcentral. Lineage: Eukaryota; Metazoa; Chordata; Mammalia; Primates; Hominidae.
CUUGUCUCCCCAGGCACGUUCCCAGGCUCGCAGCCCCAGGCACCUGCCAGCCCCGUUCUGCCGGCCAGGCCACCUCCGCCACCCCCGCCCCGCCGACCCAGCACAUCUAGGCAGGGCCCUGUGGGGAGCGGGCGCCGGGAGUGCUACUUUGACACAGCGGCCCCAGAUGCAUGUGACAACAUCCUGGCUCGGAAUGUGACGUGGCAGGAGUGCUGCUGUACUGUGGGUGAGGGCUGGGGCAGCAGCUGCCGCAUCCAGCAGUGCCCGGGCACUGAGACAGACGUGGACGAAUGUCAGCUCUUCCGAGACCAGGUGUGCAAGAAUGGCGUGUGCGUGAACACGGCCCCGGGCUACUCGUGCUAUUGCAGCAACGGCUACUACUACCACACACAGCGGCUGGAGUGCAUCGAUAAUGACGAG